Molecule: long non-coding RNA, 1013 nt
Organism: Leopardus geoffroyi (Geoffroy's cat)
Lineage: Eukaryota; Metazoa; Chordata; Mammalia; Carnivora; Felidae
Exons: 4
Source: RefSeq, a predicted model, not a curated record
CUAUGUGUUUGGCCUAUUCUAGGAUCAGAAAACAUGAUGUUGAAUGAAAUGGGCACCAUUCCAGCCUCACAAAACUUGGAUCCUAACAGUCUCAGUUCACAGAAUCUCUGCAGAUUCAAUCUGGCAUCAAAUAACAGCCCAUUCUUCUCUGCCACCAUGGCCACUGGGAGCUGAUGAGGACAAAGAUACAGCACCUUAGCUACAGAAAAGAAGAAAGAAGUGCUUUCAGGGUCGCUCUGAAGACUGAAGAGUAGAAGUCUAGAAGAAAGGCAGUUGGCCCACUGUGCUCCACUGUUUCUAAGCUCCUGAUUCAGCAAACCUCUCGGGACACAGACCUAAUGCAUCCUCCUACUGAAACGUCAAGUCUGCAUUUAUUAUGCAUAUCUUUCCCAGCAGGCAAAGCCUUCCAGGACAGGAAGUGAAACUGCCCCUCAAGCAUUAACUACUACUGCCCUGACUCCAGCAAGAUUCUGCAUGAUUGACCCCAAGACAGUGAUCGACCCAACCUUUACUGCCCAGCACUUGUACCCACCCACCUUUGCCCCACAUUUUCCCUAUAUAAACCUGGAAGUCUUGUCAGCACUCUGGAGGCAGUCUUUGAGACACUGGCCCACUGUCUUCCUGGUGUCAGCCUCACUGAACUAAAUUCCUGUCUUGUUUCACCACCACUCCUCUCCCUGCUUUUGGAUUCUGUCAGUGGCGACCGGCUGAACCUGGUCUGUCUGGGAUGCCCCAGAGCCACGUGCUCUUGCACCUCUGUGACCCAGUUACAUAAGGAAUAAACAAGACAGAGAAACUAUGGCAUAAAGAUGGCAUUAAACUCUCUAGAGAGUGUGUGCAGAGGUUAAGAGCACUAGCUCAGAAGUCAAUGAGCCCUGUUUCAGAUCUUGUUCCCCCCAAUUAACUAGAUAGAUAUGUGACCUUUCCUAACCCUAGGUGCCUCAGUUUCCUAAGCAUUAAAAUGGGGAUAAUAACAGGGGCGUCUGAGUAGCUCAGUCAAUUAAGCGUCCCAC